RNAcentral lists this non-coding RNA (24 nucleotides) under Arabidopsis thaliana (thale cress). Lineage: Eukaryota; Viridiplantae; Streptophyta; Magnoliopsida; Brassicales; Brassicaceae. The record is from RNAcentral.
GAACGAGAUUAGAUGGUAGGACGG